UGCAGCUGCCCGAUGCAUUUACUUGUGGGGCCUGGCUGACCGAUGCAUCUUGCGUGCCUCACCUCCAUCCGCAGUUGGAGAGAGAGAGAUGAAUUGGUGCCUACUACGCGUUGGUCGACGCUGCGUCCGCCGCAGUCCGCGAGCCCGGGUGCACGGUGGCACUCACGGACCUCCACCGCUGCCUCGAUGCCUUCAGCGAGUCCUGCGACCGAGCCGAGGGCCUCGUCCAGGCAGCGUCGCUGCCUCCCGCUGAGGAGAACGGGAUGGGAGAAGAGAAGCAUCGCCCUCCGACCACGCCGCUGGCGGCCGAGGACAAAUAGCCCAAUCGAUCUACCUCUUCUCCUCUUGAGGUGAUGUUCAUCGUUCUUGUUUUUUCCGUGUGAUGUUCAUCGUUCCUCUUAUUUUCUUGGUUGAUGUGCUAAUUGUGUUAGUCAUCUAGAAGAUGAAUGAAACUGUGACGGGAAAGGAAAGGACAGAUGGACUGGGAUAUAUUGCCUCGCCGUGCCGCAUGGUGGCCGAGAUGCGGCAGCCCCAUGCUCUGUUUCGAUAGGCCUCCUCUGCUCGAUGUUGCCGCUAGUUGAGUUUGGUACGGUUUCCUGUUGUCGCUUGCGUCGAGCCUUGGGUCCGUCUCUCCUUCUCAUUGAGCGUACUUUUCCCAUUGCCAGCGCUUCUUCUUCUCAUCUGUCCUGCUGCUUACCCAACGUGCUUCUGCUUGCUGCCUCGGGCUGUACAAUCUCUUCUGUUCCUGUGUCGUUCGACUCAUAAGAUGGUUGUAAGAGCUAGAGAAGCAUUAGGAACUGGUCUACAGUGUCUUCCAGUGUAUGCGUACACACAAUUCACUUUCCUUUUCUUUUUUCCCUUUGUAUAGAUGAUGUGGUUGGGUUACGAAGCCUCUUCUUGCAGUGUUGUCUGCAAGGCCAAACGGAAGUUAUUAAUGCAUUUGAGCUGCUCUAUCUGAUUGUUCAUUUGCAUGAACCUGUUUUAGUUGAUGUAAAAGUGUUCUCUAUUUCAGAAAGCCAGAACACGAGAUUGUGCCCCCUCUUGCUCCAGGCUAUUCCUCAUGUUGCAACCUUUUCCCAUAGAAUUGAAAGGAAGAUGGAAGAAAUUGCAGGAGGAAUGGUGUUUCCAUGGUGACAUUCAAAACCAGUCAAGACUAUAAAGGGGUUGUGAAGGACGAAAUGCUAUGGAUCCAGAGUGGGAGGGGAGAGUUACCAACAAUGUAUCAAGGAUAAACCGUGACAUGGAUUCCUAAGUUCCAACUUACAUAGCAAAAUUAUAUAGGGAGAAUGCCUGCAUUUUGAAAACUCUAUUACAUAGUUUGAAGCUAUGUUUCCUUCAAUUUUCAUUAUUAAAAGGAUCUUUAUUAUUGCCAAUUUGUCAAGCAUUUAUUGUCGAAUAACUCUUUGUUUCAAAUGAGACCUGUGGCGCAAGGGGUAAAUUUAUUAUACAUCU
This is a non-coding RNA of Triticum urartu, 1452 nucleotides long. NCBI's taxonomy places the organism in Eukaryota, Viridiplantae, Streptophyta, Magnoliopsida, Poales, Poaceae. The record is from RefSeq and is a predicted model, not a curated record.